CCCCGGUAGCUCAACGGUAGAGCGUUCGGCUGUAGACCGAAAGGCUGUGAGUUCAAAUCUCACCCGGGG
This 69-nucleotide transfer RNA is filed under the name Candidatus Woesearchaeota archaeon CG10_big_fil_rev_8_21_14_0_10_32_9. RNAcentral describes it as "tRNA-Tyr". It matches the Rfam family "tRNA". Rfam says of the family: Transfer RNA (tRNA) molecules are approximately 80 nucleotides in length. Their secondary structure includes four short double-helical elements and three loops (D, anti-codon, and T loops). Lineage: Archaea; Nanobdellati; Candidatus Woesearchaeota. The record is from RNAcentral.